RNAcentral lists this ribosomal RNA (253 nucleotides) under uncultured bacterium. Its description in RNAcentral is "partial 16S ribosomal RNA". It matches the Rfam family "Bacterial small subunit ribosomal RNA", at positions 524 to 776 of the family's 1533-position model. The record is from RNAcentral.
UACGAAGGGGGCUAGCGUUGCUCGGAAUCACUGGGCGUAAAGCGCACGUAGGCGGCUUUCUAAGUCAGGGGUGAAAUCCUGGAGCUCAACUCCAGAACUGCCUUUGAUACUGGAGAGCUUGAGUCCGGGAGAGGUGAGUGGAACUCCGAGUGUAGAGGUGAAAUUCGUAGAUAUUCGGAGGAACACCAGUGGCGAAGGCGGCGACCUGGUCCUUGACUGACGCUGAGGCGCGAAAGCGUGGGGAGCAAACAGG